UGCAAGGGCCUCGCGCGAUUGGAGCGGCCGAUAUCGGAUUAGCUAGUUGGUGGGGUAAAGGCCCACCAAGGCGACGAUCCGUAGCGGGUCUGAAAGGACGACCCGCCACACUGGAACUGAGACACGGUCCAGACUCCUACGGGAGGCAGCAGUGGGGAAUUUUGGACAAUGGGGGCAACCCUGAUCCAGCCAUUCCGCGUGAGUGAAGAAGGCCUUCGGGUUGUAAAGCUCUUUCAGCAGGAACGAAACGGUCGGCCUGAAUACGGUCGGCUAAUGACGGUACCUGCAGAAGAAGCACCGGCUAACUACGUGCCAGCAGCCGCGGUAAUACGUAGGGUGCGAGCGUUAAUCGGAAUUACUGGGCGUAAAGCGUGCGCAGGCGGUGACAUAAGACAGAUGUGAAAUCCCCGGGCUCAACCUGGGAACUGCGUUUGUGACUGUGUCGCUCGAGUGUAGCAGAGGGGGGUGGAAUUCCACGUGUAGCAGUGAAAUGCGUAGAGAUGUGGAGGAACACCGAUGGCGAAGGCAGCCCCCUGGGUUAACACUGACGCUCAUGCACGAAAGCGUGGGGAGCAAACAGGAUUAGAUACCCUGGUAGUCCACGCCCUAAACGAUGCCAACUAGGUGUUGGGGAAGGAGACUUCCUUAGUGCCGUAGCUAACGCGUGAAGUUGGCCGCCUGGGGAGUACGGUCGCAAGAUUAAAACUCAAAGGAAUUGACGG
Molecule: ribosomal RNA, 722 nt
Filed under: uncultured bacterium
Lineage: Bacteria
Description: bacterial SSU rRNA
Rfam family: Bacterial small subunit ribosomal RNA
Source: RNAcentral